This 606-nucleotide long non-coding RNA is filed under the name Homo sapiens (human). Its description in RNAcentral is "non-protein coding lnc-MRPL57-8:1". Lineage: Eukaryota; Metazoa; Chordata; Mammalia; Primates; Hominidae. The record is from RNAcentral.
UUGUUGUACUGUAUGUAUCAACUGCACAAGGCAAUCAGCCAAAGAGAGAUUUAAACAUAUGGACUAAAUUUCAUGUCUUUGGAAAACAUGGUAGAGCAAGACAGCAAUAAGCUCUUCCACUCUGCUCUCUGGGGCUGCCACUUGGCUGAGGAGGGGACAUGUUACACCUGGGCCAAAUCAUCCUGGGUCUCCCACUCAAAGCGCCACUCUCAUGUCUGCAGCGGCCUGUGCAAAUAUGCAAAGCCCCCUUUGAAAGCUCUGUGGUGCUGCUUAGCGGUGUUCUUUGCACCUUGAACAAUGCUCACUCACAUGCAAGACCUGCCCAUGGACAUACCAGGAUUAGCAAAGCAAUCCACGGUCCUGAAUUUCUGUGGGUGCCUGCAUUUGCUAUGCUACAAGGGGAAGAGAUUGUCAUUUACAGUGAAAAAUAAAGGUGGUGUUAAUUAAAUUUAUUUUCCUGAGUGCCGACGUCUCCAGACCUCUAUUCCUUUUGUAAGAAAGCUUAUCAGAUGGAAUGAUCACAAUGGCGACGGUGAAAGUUCUACAGGUACGCUUUUUGUACACUCCAUUUUAGAUACAGGAAUGUUAUACUAAAGGAAAGAAUGC